UGGGGAAUUUUGCGCAAUGGGGGAAACCCUGACGCAGCAACGCCGCGUGCGGGAUGAAGGCCUUCGGGUCGUAAACCGCUUUCAGCAGGGACGAACAUGACUGUACCUGCAGAAGAAGCCCCGGCUAACUACGUGCCAGCAGCCGCGGUAAUACGUAGGGGGCAAGCGUUAUCCGGAUUUAUUGGGCGUAAAGCGCGCGUAGGCGGCUUGUUAAGUCGGAUGUGAAAACCGGGGGCUCAACCCGCGGACUGCAUCUGAAACUGGCAGGCUUGAGUCUGGUAGAGGAGUGUGGAAUUCCUAGUGUAGCGGUGAAAUGCGCAGAUAUUAGGAGGAACACCAGUGGCGAAGGCGGCACUCUGGGCCACGACUGACGCUGAGGUGCGAAAGCUAGGGGAGGCAAACAGGAUUAGAUACCCUGGUAGUCCUAGCCGUAAACGAUGGGCACUAGGUGUGGGGGAUCAUCGACAUCUUCCGUGCCGAAGCUAACGCAUUAAGUCG
This 498-nucleotide ribosomal RNA is filed under the name uncultured Actinomycetes bacterium. RNAcentral describes it as "bacterial SSU rRNA". It matches the Rfam family "Bacterial small subunit ribosomal RNA", at positions 355 to 867 of the family's 1533-position model. Lineage: Bacteria; Bacillati; Actinomycetota; Actinomycetes. The record is from RNAcentral.